This 328-nucleotide long non-coding RNA is filed under the name Phoenix dactylifera (date palm). RNAcentral describes it as "long non-coding RNA (PDAC_LNC004842)". The record is from RNAcentral. Lineage: Eukaryota; Viridiplantae; Streptophyta; Magnoliopsida; Arecales; Arecaceae.
CUUGCCCCUAGAUCUAAGAGUGCUCGAUCAAUGAAAUUAUUUCCUAAGACACAGGAGAUGGCGGGAGCACCAGGAUCUUUGAAUUUUGGAGGGGUGUUGUGUUGGAGAAUAGAACUCACUUGCUCAGUUAGGAAGACCUUUUUAGGCACAUAUGUCCUAUAUUUUCGCUUUUGGGUACAAAGGUCUUUGAGAAAUUUGGCAUAGGAGGGAACUUGUCUAAUAGCAUCAAGGAGUGGGAGGUUGAUUUUAACUUGUUUGAAAACCUCCAUCAUCUCCUCUAGUGAAGUUCCCUUUUUGCCAAAGGGAGAGGGUGAAUUAAGAGCUUCAG